Long non-coding RNA from Gordionus sp. m RMFG-2023, 453 nucleotides. RefSeq lists it as uncharacterized. Lineage: Eukaryota; Metazoa; Nematomorpha; Gordioida; Chordodea; Parachordodidae. The transcript is spliced from 3 exons. The record is from RefSeq and is a predicted model, not a curated record.
UUAUGUUUAAUUUCAUCUAUCCGAUAACAUGCCUGCUGAGUUUGAAAACAAAAAGUUAAGACAUGUUGAAAAAGACAUAUUAAUUUUUAGUACAAUGCUAAAGCACGUGAAACAAGUAAAAUGCUUAGACGAAAGAAAGGCUUUUGACCAGUGCUGUUCAAAUAAUAAUAAUUUAAGUGUUAUUUACAAAUGUAGAGAAGCUAGCCGUUUAAUGCAAGGAUGCUAUAAUAAUUGGUUAACCAAUCCAGAUUUUAUAAAAGAAUGCACAGAUAUAUAUUUGACAGAAAAAGAUUUAUACAAUGAUACAGGCUUAAAUAAACAGCAAAGAGAUGUUCAAACUGCUAUUAGAAAACAAAUUUUUGGUGAAUAAAAUAUAAUUAUAUGAAUAUCAUCUAUUGCAAAUUAUCAAAUUUGUUGUAAAUAUAUUUGAAUUUAUACAUAUUUAUUGUAAUA